Long non-coding RNA from Hippocampus zosterae (dwarf seahorse), 824 nucleotides. RefSeq lists it as uncharacterized. NCBI's taxonomy places the organism in Eukaryota, Metazoa, Chordata, Actinopteri, Syngnathiformes, Syngnathidae. The record is from RefSeq and is a predicted model, not a curated record. The transcript has 2 exons.
ACUGCCAUCAAUGCGAACAAAACUCUGACAUCGGUGGUAUAGUGACCGAACAGCCCGUAUCAGGGGGUUCGGUACUCCAUACCCACGAAGCACCCCCCACAGACCUCCCCGAGGGACACGGUCAAACGCCUUCUCCAAGUCCACAAAACACAUGUAGACUGGUUGGGCGAAUUCCGACAUACCCUCGAGGACCCUGCUAAGGGUGUAGAGCUGGUCCACUGGUCCACUGUUCCACGGCCGGGACGACAACCACACUGCUCCUCCUCAAUCUGAGGCUCGACUUCCUGACGGACCCUCCGCUCCAACACCCCUGAAUAGACCUUACCAGGGAGGCUGAGGAGUGUGAUCCGUCUGUAGUUGGAACACACCCUCCGGUCCCCCUUUUUAAAAAGAGGGACUACCACCCCGGUCUGCCAAUCCAGAGGCACUCUCCCUGUUGACCACGCAAUGUUGCAGAGGCGUGUCAACCAGGACAGCCCCACAACAUCCAGAGCCUUGAGGAACUCCGGACGGAUCUCAUCCACUCCUGGGGCCUUGCCACCGAGGAGCUUUUUAACCACAUCGGUGACUUCAACCACAGAGAUAGAAGAGCCCACCUCGGGGUGCCCAGACUCUGCUUCCUCCAAGGAAGACGUGUUGGUGGAGUUGAGGAGGUCUUCGAAGUACUCUGCCCACCGGUUCACAACGUCCCGAGUCGAAGUCAGCAGCGCCCCAUCCCCACUGUACACAGUGUUAGUGGUGCACUGCUUCCCCCUCCUGAGACGUCGGAUGGUGGACCAGAAUUUCCUCGAAGCCGUCCGGAAGUCGGCUUCCAUGGCCUCACC